RNAcentral lists this long non-coding RNA (2795 nucleotides) under Salmo salar (Atlantic salmon). RNAcentral's name for it is "lncRNA (ENSSSAG00000093037.1)". Lineage: Eukaryota; Metazoa; Chordata; Actinopteri; Salmoniformes; Salmonidae. The record is from RNAcentral.
CAGCAGGAAGGUGGAAACCCAUCCAGUCAUUCCAGCUAUGGUAAUGAAGGAAAGGAAGACAUUAAAAUAUUGGGACACAGACUUAGGAGUGCAGGAUGGAUGGAUGGAGACAAAGGGGAAUGAUCAAAUUCCCUCAUGGAGUAAUUGAGCAACGUCACAAGGAAACGUUGCAGAAGAACGUAGAAUUAGUGAAAACAAAAUGCAGAGGCAAAAGUAUGCCUGCUUCCAUUUUAUGGAAUCCAAUCCAGGAAGGAGGGCAGUUUGUCACUUAGACUGAAGUUGUGUCACGCUUGUCGUUGGAAAUUGAGGACCAAAACACAGCAGCCUCCCCCCUUGUGAAUCUCCACUGGAAACAGAGCUUCCCUGUAACCCUACAACUUCAGUGUCUGCAGAUCUGAAUCAACUGGAUGGGUUGACAGCAAUAUGGCAGAGACUCUCUUCAACCUACUGGAAGCUUGGCUGGGUGGAGCCUUCUCCAUUUGGUUAGUGUACGCCUAUCCGCUCCACUGCAGACCUACAUAUGUGACUGGGUUAGCCCAUUGAGCUAGAGACUAGACAUUAGCUCUGGAAACUAACAAGGCUUCAGGUCUCAGGGAUGUUGACUCAUCACUAGAGUGUAGUUUCAUUGAACCACCUCCAUCACAUAGACACCAAAGUGUUAACAGACAGCUGGUUAAAAUAUAGUUUCCCCCACACCAGGUAUAAGAAGUGUGAAUGUUAUUUCCCAGCAUACACUGUGGUUGUUUCGACCUCUGUUUACACCCCUCGUUGAGCAUCCUAUGGCAUCUGUCGGCUGAAGUGAUGACUGAGUUUUGAAAAGUAUAUAAAUCCACAGGGACACAAAGGCUGCAGAUUGAUCAUUGGAAUGGAUUAGUGAGUGGGAGUGGGGUUCGCUCCGAGGGGAUUUGAGGUGAUAUUGAGUUGCAUUGAUGGUGUAGCAAAGCAAUUUUUGACAGGAGGAAUAGCUGUGACAGUGAAAGAGUGGUGAUAUUUAAUUUUCAUGAGUGCGAUCAGUGCAGCAGAGCAAUUAGCGACUGUCGGGUUUCAGUGUAUAGAGCCAUCGACUCGCUAAGUGAAAAGAGAGUAUCAACAGCAGCACUUGGUACCCAUGUGAGCAUGCUGUAAAAUGUAAAGAGAACCUUGUUGACAUCUUAAUUUCAUUAGUAGACUGGUUCUAUGUUGACAUCUUAGGUUCAUUAGUAGACUGGUUCUAUGUUGACAUCUUAGGUUCAUUAGUAGACUGGUUCUAUGUUGACAUCUUAGAAUGAGAGAUGACUGAACUUACUCUGUUGGAAGAGUCGACACUGUAUUUUGUAAAGAGUGUGUUUUUAGUGACAGUGUUUUUAGAGACAGGCGAGACAUGCCAUUCUGGUGCACAUCCAAGUGUUACCCACCCUCUGGUUUUUGGCAACUGGCACUUUUCAGUUGGAGCAUGCCUAUUGGUAUCUGACAGCCCUCAAUGAGCCAAUGUUAAAUCAGCAUCUCACAGCCCUCAAUGAGACAAUGUUAAAUCAGGGGUUUCUUCACUAUGAUGCCAUCAAUGGGUUUCCAAAUACGGACCAAAUAGACAGCACCCACGACGCCAUAAAUACGAACGGACCAGUAGAAGGUACCCACGACGCCAUAAAAGCACCAUCCCAAAACGAGUUCAACUGUGUGAACAGAAAAGGCUUCCACUCUUUAUGUGCAGGUUGUGUGAUGAUCAAAAGACGCUGCUGAAUGUGGUGGCCAGGUGGAACGUAGGACUUAUUCAUUCUGCAGAACAGCAGUGUUGGCCUAUACACCUCCAGGAGGGAGCUGAUGAGGAUGGAUGGCUUAUUACUGAGUGUUUCCUACUCAGUUGAAGUAUAUUUACCGUUGCUAAAGCAACUUCAAUUGUCCUAAUGGUCCUCUCUCUGUAGCUAUGUUUUAAUUUGGCUCACAACUGAAUGAGCCAAAAUCAAACCUUUUGGUUGUACUGAACCUCUGACACCAGCACCUCUAUUUCAGUCUCGGAAAAUGUUCUUUUUCUUAGCCCACAGGCUUUAAAGGGACCAUACUAUGGUUAACUAGGGGCGUUUCAUAAUGCAAACAGACAAGGUUGUGCACGAGCACUGAGGCUGAGAACAAUUUGUAUUUAUCAAUGGUUCUCUCCUACCGGUGUGGUUACGACACUCGUAGGAUUGUUUGAUAAAUCACACUUUUUCUAUUUAAUACGACCAUUCUAAAUUCCGUUCGUAGGUAGUAUUUUAGAAUAGUUUCUAACAAAUGUUGAUAAAUGAGGCCCCUAAUUUGUAAGAUCUCUUCCAUCUAGUUAGUGUAGAUGCCCUUUAACUAUGGACCAGAGUUGCAACCUAUUGAAAAAGUCCAGAAAUGACUGUCAGAAAUGGAGUAUGUUUGUUCACAUCCAUUAUUUAUAGAAUAUAUAGGUUGCCCCACUGGUUGAACUUCUGACUCAAGGUACUGAAUGCUCACAUAACACCAAUGUUACCAUUCAUCUGGCAUCAGAGUCAAUACACACAUCUAGCUAUCUACGGUAUAUGUGCAGUAUUUUUUCAUCUACAGGAACGUUUUUUGGUACAUUCUGCUAUUCUGCACUCAUCCCAACCCCCCAAACUGUGUCUGAAAUCAUAGCGGCAGACAGCCAUAAAUAACAGUGUCCAUACCAAAUCAACACUGUACCCACAGCAUGCCAUUUCUAUUCAGCUUUCAUUUUAUAACUCCCUCUUUCAGGGUGAAUUUAUCAGCUGCAGAAGACUGGAAUUGGCUAUUUAAUCCAUUUGAGGAUACGGGUAGGGGGGGACGGGUGCGGGUAG